Non-coding RNA from Haemonchus placei, 75 nucleotides. The record is from Rfam. NCBI's taxonomy places the organism in Eukaryota, Metazoa, Nematoda, Chromadorea, Rhabditida, Trichostrongylidae.
GGCCCAAACUUGAAGUAGAGUAGAUUGGUAGUAUCAUCUGACCCUACUAUACUACUCUACUUCGAGUUUGGGCCA